AUCCUGACUACUGAAUCUUCAACAUCCACCCUACCCUUCUGCAAGUAGAGCACAAAUUCUACAAGACCAAGGACUAUGUUCAUGUCUUGUUCCCUGCACAGUGCUCGACACCUAAUAGGGACAUGAUAAAUAUUUAUGGAAUGAAUGAAUGAACUUAGUUAAUUCAAGACAUACUUCAAAGACCCUUUACAAAACCCAAUUGACACGGUUCAAGGACUAGGCAUGAAAGACAAAAAUUUUUUUUCACAGGAUGGAUGAGACUUGGCAGCAGUAUAUAUGGACAAAAAUCUGAGAAGUUUUAUUUUUCUCAAGCUUAAUGUGAGAAGAGGGCCAACUGUGCAAUUCAUCUGCUAAGCCAUGAACAAAAGGAAGCAGGCUGGUUUUGGCCUGCAGGGUAUAGUUCCUUGACCUCGGCUUCAUCCAAACACUCUAAUUUCAUCUCGUAUUUGUAUCCUUGGAGUGCCCAAUGCCAGCAAUACAGCCUACCCCUGGAAGAUGCCCAGUAUUGACCAUUUGAAUUUGAUAAAAGAGAUCCAGAACUCAAAGAUCCUUGAUGCUUUUUAUCAAUUCCACUAAACGUCAAGGACAGGAAAUAAAAACAUUUUUCUCUUCCGACUCAAACACAAUACCCCUUUGUGAAGCUGCUAAAAAUCUAGAAAUGGCAAAUCUGGGAAAAUUUUCAGGUGAGCGAUAGGCAUCAAAAUAUUUCAUUUUUGCUAAAAAUAUCUCUUAAGUUUUUCUUAGCAUUCCAACUCACAUCACACUGAAUUUGAGUACAAAGAACAGAAUCUGUUUUACCCUUGUAUUGGCAGUGACUUUGAGGUUAUACAAAGGAGUCAAAGUAGCCUGUCCUAUGACACUGAAGU
This 866-nucleotide long non-coding RNA is filed under the name Homo sapiens (human). RNAcentral describes it as "HSALNT0319326". The record is from RNAcentral. Lineage: Eukaryota; Metazoa; Chordata; Mammalia; Primates; Hominidae.